GGGUGGUUCGUAGUAUCUUCCGUCUUCUUGGGUUCUUCGUCUCUCAUUCUCCAUCAGUCUCUUCUCCUUUGAGGUAGUUCACUGAAUUAGUAAACUCCUUCUCUAUGCAACAAGGGAGAGGUGGAAAGCAACUUGGCUAGAUUUGUGGUAAUAAACUAAUAGGUGAAAAGUUAAAUGUUGGAGACCCACAUUGUUCUUUCAUUCAAGCAUUGUUGAUAGCUCAAGGUUUUGAUCCAUCCAAGCUUGUAAAUUAUAACAUACUGCACCAAUUGCACUAUUAUGGUGAUUGUGAUGAAUGUGUAUGAGAGUCAAAUUUAUUAAAAUUAGUUAUCUUGCAAUCACCAUUGAAAAGAAAGAAGAAAUACACAAAAAGAAGAUUCGACCCGACCCGAUCCAUUUUGACCCGACCCAAAUUCAGGUCAGGUUGGAUCAUAACAGUAAGAAAUCCAUGCAUUUCAAGUCGGGUCGGGUUGGAAGAAAAACUGACCCGACCCAGCCCAAUUAUAUCCCUAGUGUAACAUAUAUAAAUGAUCAAUGCUUGUGUUAUUGGUGUUUCUAAAUUUGUGAUUUCGAUAUUUUCUUC
Long non-coding RNA from Cucumis sativus (cucumber), 583 nucleotides. RefSeq lists it as uncharacterized. The record is from RefSeq and is a predicted model, not a curated record. The transcript is spliced from 2 exons. Lineage: Eukaryota; Viridiplantae; Streptophyta; Magnoliopsida; Cucurbitales; Cucurbitaceae.